UGGUCUAUGCUUUGAAGUUUUUCGCUUGAAGUGCGUACGGGGGACAAAUUGAGUUUUUGAUCUGCAUUGUAAUUUUGAAAUGGACCGGAAAUGGGCAGGAGAGUCUAUUGAUGAAACAUUGGUUAACAAUGCAUUGACUUUUCUACUCAGAGAUUGGAGAAAGCACAAGAAAAAUCGAUCCAAAACAAUGAUUAAAGAAAAUGCAACAUUAUAUAGCAUGUCGAAGCUUCAAAUUGUUGUUUGAUAUGCACAAGCAAAAUGAUCUUCCACCAUGCAUAAGUGUCUUUUUUAACAUUGGAUCCACAAUGUUAUGAUUUUCUGACGGGAGGAUAGUCAUUGUUAUACACUUAGGUUAGUUUGAUAUUUGUUAUUGCAACAGUUAUUUCCUUGUACAUUUUCUGUUCUGCCUCCUGUAUAAAGACCUG
This 425-nucleotide long non-coding RNA is filed under the name Medicago truncatula (barrel medic). RNAcentral's name for it is "long non-coding RNA (MTRU_LNC002502)". The record is from RNAcentral. Lineage: Eukaryota; Viridiplantae; Streptophyta; Magnoliopsida; Fabales; Fabaceae.